RNAcentral lists this long non-coding RNA (2855 nucleotides) under Marmota monax (woodchuck). Lineage: Eukaryota; Metazoa; Chordata; Mammalia; Rodentia; Sciuridae. The record is from RNAcentral.
AUCCCUAGUACCACCAAAAAAAAAAAAAAAUCAGUGGUUGAGAUUGUUAAUUCAUUCAACCAAUGGUUUGUUCUGAGCUGAAAAUCCUGGUAAAUAAUAGUGGCAUGCCUGCUGUAGCAGUACUCGUAGACCGCUGAUGGCAGCCAGCUAUAAAUGCACACAUGAGUAUAAAAUAGGAAGUAGGGUGUGAUUUUCCUACGGUAGACAGGGGGACGUCUCUAAGAAGGUGACAAAUUGAGUAAAAGUCUAAGGGAGGUGAGGGAAGAAGCCACAUGGAUAUCUGCAGAAGUGGUCCUGGCCAGAGUGACAGCUGGUGUGAAGGCCCCGAGCCUUGCGUGUUCACCAGUGCGGAUGCCCACCUGGUGGACCCAGGUGAGUGAGAGGGUGGGGCCUCGCCUUGGGGCCACGGGAGCAGAGUAGGAACGCGUGUGGGGUCUAAGUGGGGAUGGGAGCCUGGAAGCCUAUCCGCUCUGGCCUGAGUCUAGGCAGUGAAGCGUGAGAAGCGCUGCAAUGGUGAGGACUUGAGAGGUUUGAGAUCUGGCCUGAUGCAGGGAACAGACCAAGAGGAGCUGCCCCAGGGAGCCCUUUACUGCAGAGGGACAGUUGUUAGGAGUAGGUUCUAUUUGUCUCUCCAGGCCAACGAGGGCGUGCCCAUCUCUAUGGGGGACAGCAUCUUCGUGGGAGGUAAGGGCUUGGGGCUGCUGCGGGUGGGCCAAGACCCUUCUCUCCAAACCUGCUGGCAGUGAAGGGUAUCCUCGUGCGUUCCAGAUGCAGCAGGCCGCCCAGCCAACUGGGCCCCUGGCCGUAAGAAGAAAGACUUUUCCUGCGCUGACCGAUUGGUGAGCAGGUGACCGAUUGGGGAUCGGUCACCAAUGGUGAGCCCCGCACCCCGCCCUCGAUCUCUGCCUCACCUCUGCCUUUGCCCCAGUUUGCGCUCAACCUUGGCCUGCCCUUCGCCACCCCGGAGGAGUUCUUCCUUAAGCAGCCCACAGCAGCCUUUGUCCUCCCAGCAUUUGACCCGGUGAGGCCCGAGGGGUGGAAGGCAGGGAACAAGCAGGGGAAUGAGGGUCUCAACUUCUUGUUCCACCCCUCCUAGAGGACUGUCUCCUGCUCAGGGCCUCUCUGCCUCCCAGAGUCCAGCUCCCUCCUGAGCUCUGACCCAGAGGUGGUUGUCGCCGUGGGAUUCCCUGGGGGUGAGAUAUCCUGAUCCCCAUCUCUGGGUGCUGUAAGUGUCCUUCUGGGUCCUGGGUAUCCACUGAUAGUGAUUUUGUGCCUCUCAGCUGGGAAGUCCACCUUCCUCAAGAAACAUCUCGUGUCAGCUGGGUACGUCCACGUGAACAGGGUAAGAGGCUGCCGCGCCCCAUCCCACUGGUUCAUUCCCUGGCUGCCCCAACCGGGCCUUCAGGGCUGCCGCCCAGCACCCCUGCCUCCCCCUGCAGUUCUGAUUUGUUGCCCUGCCCCCACCAGGACACCCCUUCAUCUUCUAUUCCCUAUUGGGCAAUUCCUGCUUGUGACCUGCUCUCCUCUGUCCCCAGGAUACAAUAGGCUCCUGGCAGCGCUGUGUGAGCACCUGUGAGGCAGCUCUGAAGCAGAGGAAACGCGUGGUGAUCGACAACACAAAUCCAGACAUCCCAACCAGGGCCAGGUACUUGGCCCCAUGGGAGGUCUCUAGUAGGGCUGGCAAGGGCCUGGUGACAGCGCUUUCCUGGCCUCAACAGGUAUGUCCAGUGUGCCAGGGAUGCAGGUGUUCCCUGCCGUUGUUUCCUCUUCACUGCCACAUUGGAGCAGGCUCGCCACAACAACCGGGUGAGCCCCUGCCCUCCCCCUCCCUCCUGCCCUGCCCUGCCCCUCCCUCCCCGAUGGCCUCACUCUGAACCAUCCCCUAACAGUUCCGGGAGAUGACUGGCUCCUCUCACACACCAGUGUCAGAUGUCGUCAUAUUCGGCUACAGGUACCUCUAGUUAGUAGGCUGUGGGCUGGUAGGGCCUGGCCUCUCCUUACCACCUUCUCUGCCACCAGGAAACAGUUCGAAGCUCCUACGGUGGCGGAAGGCUUCUCUGCAAUCCUGGAGAUCCCAUUCCAGCUGCAGCUAGAGCCGCAACUAGAGCGACUCUACCGGCAGUUCUCUGAGGGCUGAGUUGCCCAGCCCCAUGCUCCCCUCCCUGACCUGGCAAUAAAUGCUAUUUUUCUCCAAGCUUGGCCAGCAUUUUGCUGGGAGGAAGGGUGGUCGUCUUGGAGGUGCGUCACCAGGCCUAGGCCAACCCCACGCCCCCACACACACACGCGCGCGCGCGCACACUUUUCUACAUUUUCAGGUUAACAGAAAAGGAGGGACCUGGACUGGCUCAGGCUGCUCCUCUGCACAUCUCAUGUUCUACACCAAACCACUCCACCCACCUUGGGCUGUGGAAAGGUGUCACUAGGAGGUUGUCAUGAGCAGGUCAAACAAGAGACUGAGAUGAGACAUGGGAAUGUAGGACAUUGAAUGGGCCCCUAUAAGCUAGCCAGAGCUUGGCUCAAGAUGGCCCAUGAGGGCACAGUGAUUGCAAGCUUGCCUAAUCAUGUGUGAGGCCCUGCAUUCAACUCCCAGUACUGCAUGAGGACAAAAUAUCCAGGGCUCAGGUUCUAUUGCAUUGGACUUGAACGCAGGGGAUGUGGGUCUUGGACCUGCCUAUGGAUCCCCCCUCCAGCUACAGGAGGCAAAAACGCCCCUGACCUAUGCUUUCUUACAGGUAAGUCCAGGGGAAAGAAACCAUGAGCACUACCUGCAAGGUCCUGGCACCAGGUACUGGAAACAGAGAACCAACACACGGCUUCAUGCUUCUGACACAAAGGCCCCAGGAGGUGAGGCCACC